AGAAACCAAGGGGUGGAGCUGGUCUAAAGCAAGGCAGACCUUUGUACAGUGGGUGUGAAGGAGGCAGAUAUGAAUACAGAUAUUCUCCUGAUUAAGAAAAUGAGGUGGGAGAACUCUCCUGUUGAUAUGGUAGAUUACAUUGAUUGAUUUUAGAAUAUUGAACCAGCUUCCAUCCCUGGGAUAAACCCCACUUGAUCAUAGUGUGGUGAUACUAACUUCAUAAAAUGAAUUGGAAAGUGUUCCUUUCUCUUAUGUUUUCUGGAAGAGGAUGUAUAAAAUUGAUGUUAAUUCUUAAUUAAGCAUUUGGUAGAAGUUUCCAGUGAAAUCAUCUAGAUAUUAACUGCAGACAUGAAAUUAGAAGAUGCUUACUCCUUGGAAGGAAAGUUCUGACCAAUCUAGACAGCAUAUUAAAAAGCAGAGACAUUACCUUGUCAACAAAGGUCCGUCUAGUCAAGGCUAUGGUUUUUCCAGUGGUCAUGUAUGGAUGUGAGAGCUGGACUAUAAAGAAAGCUGAGCACCAAAGAAUUGAUGCUUUUGAACUGUGAUGUUUGAGAAGACUCUUGAGAGUCCCCUGGACUGCAAGGAGAUCCAACCAGUCCAUCCUAAAGGAGAUCAGUCCUGGGUGUUCAUUGGAAGGACUGCUGUUGAAGCUGAAACUCCAAUACUUGGGCUACCUAAUGCGAAGAGCUGACUCAUUUGAAAAGACCCUGAUGCUGGGAAAGAUUGAGGGCAGGAGGAGAAGGGGAUGACAGAGGAUGAGAUGAUUGGAUGGAAUCACCGACUUAAUGGACAUGGGUUUGGGUGGACUCUGGGAGUUGGUGAUGGACAGGGAGGCCUGGCAUGCUGCGGUUCAUGGGGUUGCAAAGAGUCAGACAGGACUGAGCGACUGAACUGAACUGAAACAUUGUAUAAUGUCCCUGUCUGACUUUGGUAAUUUUUUGCUUUGAAAUCAGCUUUAUCUGAUAUCAAAACAGCCACUCCGUCUUUCUUUUGAUUAGUAUUUUGCAUGUGUUGCCCUAAAGGUCCAGGAGCAAGCGAUGAGAAUGAAAACAAAACACGAAAUCUGGUGCAGGGGGCCAGGGGACCUGUAGCUUCUACUGGAC
This is a long non-coding RNA of Bos taurus (domestic cattle), 1103 nucleotides long. NCBI's taxonomy places the organism in Eukaryota, Metazoa, Chordata, Mammalia, Artiodactyla, Bovidae. The record is from Ensembl.